RNAcentral lists this ribosomal RNA (380 nucleotides) under uncultured Brasilonema sp. Its description in RNAcentral is "bacterial SSU rRNA". It matches the Rfam family "Bacterial small subunit ribosomal RNA", at positions 376 to 770 of the family's 1533-position model. The record is from RNAcentral. Lineage: Bacteria; Bacillati; Cyanobacteriota; Cyanophyceae; Nostocales; Scytonemataceae.
CGAAAGCCUGACGGAGCAAUACCGCGUGAGGGAGGAAGGCUCUUGGGUCGUAAACCUCUUUUCUCAGGGAAGAAGAAAGUGACGGUACCUGAGGAAUCAGCCUCGGCUAACUCCGUGCCAGCAGCCGCGGUAAUACGGAGGAGGCAAGCGUUAUCCGGAAUUAUUGGGCGUAAAGCGUCCGUAGGUGGUUGUUCAAGUCUUCUGUCAAAGCGCGGAGCUUAACUCCGUAAAGGCAGAGGAAACUGAGCGGCUAGAGUGCGAUAGGGGCAGAGGGAAUUCCCAGUGUAGCGGUGAAAUGCGUAGAGAUCGGGAAGAACACCAGUGGCGAAAGCGCUCUGCUGGACCUGCACUGACACUGAGGGACGAAAGCUAGGGGAGCG